GCUAACGUCCGUCGUGAAGAGGGAAACAACCCAGACCGCCAGCUAAGGUCCCAAAGUCAUGGUUAAGUGGGAAACGAUGUGGGAAGGCACAGACAGCCAGGAUGUUGGCUUAGAAGCAGCCAUCAUUUAAAGAAAGCGUAAUAGCUCACUGGUCGAGUCGGCCUGCGCGGAAGAUGUAACGGGGCUAAACCAUGCACCGAAGCUGCGGCAGCGACGACUAUGUGUUGUUGGGUAGGGGAGCGUUCUGUAAGCCUGCGAAGGUGUGCUGUGAGGCAUGCUGGAGGUAUCAGAAGUGCGAAUGCUGACAUAAGUAACGAUAAAGCGGGUGAAAAGCCCGCUCGCCGGAAGACCAAGGGUUCCUGUCCAACGUUAAUCGGGGCAGGGUGAGUCGACCC
RNAcentral lists this ribosomal RNA (395 nucleotides) under Klebsiella pneumoniae. RNAcentral describes it as "bacterial LSU rRNA". It matches the Rfam family "Bacterial large subunit ribosomal RNA", at positions 997 to 1390 of the family's 2925-position model. Lineage: Bacteria; Pseudomonadati; Pseudomonadota; Gammaproteobacteria; Enterobacterales; Enterobacteriaceae. The record is from RNAcentral.